This 72-nucleotide transfer RNA is filed under the name Ictidomys tridecemlineatus (thirteen-lined ground squirrel). Its description in RNAcentral is "Spermophilus tridecemlineatus (thirteen-lined ground squirrel) tRNA". It matches the Rfam family "tRNA". Rfam says of the family: Transfer RNA (tRNA) molecules are approximately 80 nucleotides in length. The record is from Rfam by way of RNAcentral. Lineage: Eukaryota; Metazoa; Chordata; Mammalia; Rodentia; Sciuridae.
AGGGAUGUAGCUCAGUGGUAGAGUACUUGCCUAGCAUGUAUAAGGCCCUGGGUUUGAUCCCUAGCACUUCCA